CGACGAUGAUGUAGGCCCGUUUGGCUUCCAGACUCGAAUUAUUUUUGGGUGGUCAAAGUUGACAGCGUAAUGGCUACGGCCAGCUAUACCACCGCGCGGGUGCUUCAUUUCUUCGAACCACACACCCCUCUCUCCUAUUUUACAUCACAAUAAUAGGGAGGACAAUGGACAAUACUUUGUGCGUGGGGAACAACAAUAAUUGUGUGGCGCAACUGUGGGUUGACUUGCAACAAGGGCUAGCCUCACUGUCCUACUGUCAAUAUUAUCCACGUGUACAAUGUACACGGCGAGUUCACUCAACUGUUAUCACUGAGUGACUGCCAUGUUUUUGGCUAACCCAAAUACAUGCACUUCCCCCACGGUUCACUGAUCAUGGGUGUAGGCCAAAUAAUUUUUACAGCAACAAUGCAGAACCAUUGCUUAGUGUGUGAUUCAUACGUAGGGUAAUAACAAUUAAGGACUCGCCCUGAACAGUUAUUUGGAAAGUUCAUUCAUAACCUUUCCCUCUCUCCCGUGCAGAGUGAUUUUCUCUGCUGUCUUAGCCAUACAAUUUUAGACGGGUUCAUCAGAAGUCGUCACUGGCCUUUUGAUCACUUUCGUACCCCCUCGGGGAUUACUUGAAAAAAUUAAUCGGCUGUGGACUCCAUGACGUUUGUGGAACUUGUGGAACUGUGAGUGGAAAUACAUCAACUGCGUGGAUCAGGGAAGCCAAUGCAAAAAAAAUGGCCGAUGUUCGAAUUCACAACUGGUGGUUAAUUUGUGCUUUACUGCUUGAAAUCGGCAGUAAUUCUGCAGCUCUGGCAGCGGAGAAUGACCUUCAACUGGUUGGAAGUGAUCGAACCUUUGAAGGCAAAUUGAUGAUACAGCAUGCUGGGGCUUGGAGGACAGUGUGUUACGACGGAUGGACACAUGAGGAUGCAUCUACUGCUUGCAGGCAACUAGGAUACUCACAGGGUGCGAUGAUUACCAGAGCAAAUGAUGGAACUUUUGCUGGCCCAGCAGCUACCCCCACCCUUCGAUCACCGGGUUGCACUGCAUCACACCACCGGCUCACUGAUUGCACCGAUUUCCAGUAUCAGGAGAAUUUGACAUGCACCAGUGAGGUUGACUUGAGUUGCUAUGCCAAUGACUUCAAUGGUUGUUUCUCGAACACACCUCAAUCUUGGAAUAUGGAUGAAAAACUACCUGGUGCAUCAAAUAGCAUUGAGUCGUGUCUGGAUUUCUGCAGGAGCUCAUCACUCAAUCCAAGAUUUGCGGCACUUGCUGAAAGUCGGUGUUUUUGUGGCUCUGAUGAGGGUAACAUGGGUAGCGUUGUCUCCAAACUCAACUGUGCAUUGCCAUGCAGUGGGGACCCCAUGGAAGCAUGUGGAUCUAAUACUAAUGGCUACUUUGCAAUAUGGCCAGUUACUGUUGGUGCACCUGGGGGCGCAUGGACCACCGCAACUGGCUGUCUGUACUCGCGUGACUUCCCAGCUCGAUACCAGACCACGCGCAUGACAACCACUGAUGAGUACACAGUGACUCUACCCACGCGUGCCUACAUCUCUCUCAUGUUCAAGAGCUUCGACAUCUACAGCGGUGACAGCGUUAAGUUGAGAGACAAGUCUGCUGGGUCGGCAAUGACGACAGUGGAUCUGACUCCGCCCAGCUCGCCAGGGACUGCUGUCAUACCUUUGGAUUUUCGAGUGUCAAGAUUUUCACUGCUGUUCGUUUUGGCAGCCAACUCGCCUUCAGGGAGUAAUUAUGGUUUUGUCAUCUGCUAUGAAUCACUUGUGGAACUUCCUACCGAACCCCCUACUGUACCUUCAACUGUGCCUCCUACUGUGCCAGCAACUGACCCACCAACUGACCCACCAAUUGACCCACCAACCAUCCCCCUGACAGCUCCCCAAACCGAUGCUCCACAGCCACAGACCUUGCCUCCAGUUGGCCCUACUAUUGGUCAGCCCACAGACUCUCCGGAUUCACGGACGACUCCCAGUCUAGAUGCUAUAAUGAGUACCGAUGUGCUGGCCAUUGAUAGCACCUCGGAACCACCAACUAGUACAAUUGAUGACCAAGAUACGGUCAUGAUGUGUCCUGCUUAUCAGGGGGCUCCUCUGGAAAACAGAACGGGUAGCGAGACAAUGACUGACAUUCUUCUCAUCAACACUGGCAAUCCCUUCAACUGCAGUGGUUUCUUGACCAACAUUAGUUAUUUUUCUGCUGGCGACCAUGCAUUGGAAGUCAGUAUAUGGCAACCUAAUCACAAUCCAGACACAGAUGAGUGGCUGUACAGCUUAUCUGCCAGGGCCGCUCUAGAAGGAGCACACCCGGGGAUUGCAUCAGUUUCACUCAACAGGGAUGACUGGCUUCCUUUUGGUCCUGGGGAUGUGAUGGGAAUCCGCUUCCAGACCUCACCACUGGUGUUCAGCGAUGUAAUCUCAUCAGACGAGGAAGCCACACUUUGGAUGAGAUGGAAUCUUGAAGAUGGAAGUGUAGCUGGCUCCAUCAUGGAGAAGAGGGACACGGUCAAUGCCACUGCUCUCAACCGUACUUACUCCAUCUCUGCAACCUUGAGAGACAAAGCUCACUGUCUGGUCCCAAAUGUUCCCAACAUUGCUUCCACCGAUGCCAUUGUACCUUACGUGUACGAGGGAGACGACUACUUACUAGAUUGCAGAGCGGGCUACCGACCAGUUGGAGGGCGAGUUUACAUGUGUCAAUCUACUGGGAGAUUUGAUAGAAACUUGGAAUGCCAAGACGAUGGAAGUUCCCCAUUACCAAUCUUCACCGUGGUGAUCCUGUGUGUUGUUGUCUUGGUAUUGAUCUGUCUGACUGUGUUUGUCAUCACCUGCAUGAUGAUGUGUUGCAGUUCUGGGGCCAAGCGCUCUGGGGAAUCUGCACCUGCCAAUGUGAAGAUGGAGGCUGACACCAGCUCCAAGUCUAUAGACCAGCCAGAUGCUGGCAUGGGUGAUACCAAUAGCAUGGAUGACAACCAAUUCCUCAUCAACAUUGACUCAGAAAAUGGCGAGCCAGAUGAAGUUGCCAACCCUGUGGCAGAACAGGAUUUGGAAGUGCCAGCGCCCGAGGAGACUUCACCCCUACCGGACUCAGAUGCCCACGGCAUGGAGAAUGGCAUUGCUAACCCAGAGGCCAAUGUGGAGGGCACCCCAGUCAUGGAGAACCCUGUUCAUGAUUCUGAUGUAAGUGUCUACCGUCCGUUUGUCUACUCAACUCCCACGGGGGGACUGCUGGCUGAAUACCCUCCCCGUACUCCUCCCCCUGCUCCCCCUGUGGCCCCUCCCCCACCUCCAGUUGGAGGUACUAACACUGAAAUCACCCCUAGCAACCCAGUGCCCCUUGCACCAGUGCCACCUCCGCUCUACCUUCAACCUACCAUCCCAGUAGCGCGUUCUGAUCAGCCCCCACCGGAUAGUCCAGAUACUGGGUCCAAUGCCGCCCUCAUUAGCGAGGAUCAGUCAGAUACUUUAUCUAAUCCCAGCCAGAGAGGGUACUCUUCGAGGCGUAUUGGCCAGAGCAUUUCCUCACGGCUCAGCGUCUUUGAAAACUAAAUGCUUCAUUUAUUAUUUGAUGAAAUGCAAAUGCAGCAGCCAUCUUGAAUUUAUGAUGCCAUUUUAGGCAAACAGUUUCCAAAAUAAGUUGCUCAACCUUUUCAAAUCAGCAAUUAAAGUCCCCUUUUUCCGCGAUUUUGUGGGUAUUUUUCGCCAAAACCCUUUCUUUUUGCGAGUGGCUGUUUAUUUUAACGUCCGUGGAAAGGAAAUAGCUGUAGUUAUUGUCUAACAUUUACCACGAUAAAGGUUAUGAACAGCACCUCCAUAGGAAGAUGGUGUCGGCCCCCCCCCCUCCCCAUUGUAACCUCAAGCCACUCCCACACACCCCCCUAGGGUGAGAACCCUGGCUACGCUGCUGCAUUGUAAUAUGUUAUGUAACAAAUCAUUUAACCUGGAAUCGUCUGUGGAUGGUACACCAUUCUGCGUUUUGAUACCAUUUCUCAUUCAUAAAAAUGACUACACUUCUGAGUUGCAGCUCUAGUGGCUUUUUUCGGGACCAUUGACAAUGGGCAUGCGCAUGCAUACACAGGCUUUUAGGUUGCUAUUUUAUUGGGCUCUUUCUUACUUUUCCAUUAGAUUUUGGAUAUCAUCAGAUUUUAUUUUGACUGCUCCCAAAAAUAUUUCCUUGCCCCCCAAUUUCCCCCCAAAUUUUAGAGUCUGGCGCCGCCACUGCUUAAGGCUGCAUUUUUUCUAAUAAAGGUGUCAUGUUGAAACAGUACUCACUUGCAUAAACAUUAAAUAGUGCAAAUUAACUGGAAACAGUUGCAUGAUAUGUUUCAUUUUUGCUAAUCUUUCCCCUUUCUGUCAGUCACUUUUUAUGCAGCUCAUUAUCUCCUUGACCAGAAAUGGUUAAUUGGAUUGAAAAUUUCAAUCUUGUCCAAAUUGAUCAUGUGCGUUUUUUAUACUAAAUGACAAAUUGACUCGGCAUAAGAUGCGACUUGGCAAACUUAUUAUUGUUUUGUUUUGUUGUUCUUAAUAUUUUUGGGGGGAAAUUUAAGAAAUUAAUGAUUGGACAAUGUCUAACAUUUCCUUUGAUAACUUCAAAGGUCUAAAUUUAACAACUGCCUGUGAACAUCUGAAGAAAUGCUUUACAUGUUCUGGAUGUGUUGGAGUAAAGGAGAGAUGUAUUCACAACAUCCUAUGAAGUUGAAGGUGUGUCGCAUGACCUGAUGAUGGAUGAGUAUGCCAAUGUAAGACCGUGUCUAAGCACAAGUUAUUAUAUGGGAUACUGUUACAAGUUUCCCAACAUUGUUAGUACAUUAUCUUUCAAACUGUGGUGGUGGUCAUUUAAGUAUUCAUCAAAAGGAAAUUCAUAUACACUCAAGACAGUUUACCCAUUCCUACUGGUCAAGAGCCUGUCACAUAGGUGGUUUUAAAUGGUUGAUAAAACACCAACUGGUUUUAUACACUUUUCCCCGGCACUGCUUUGUUCUGCGCCACAUUGUGCAGUAUGCACCACGCGUGUGCGAAUCUCCAUGGACUUAUUCACGAGAAAGCCAUUUUGGUCGGGUUCCCUGAAUGUAUUUUAUUAACCCUAACUCCCUAGGGGGUGUGCAAAAUUGUUGCAUGGGAGGAUGCCAGAUUAUUUAUACAUUCUAGCCUCACUUUCGUUUUUUGUGACUUAAACAUUAGGGUAUAUUUAAUCACAAAUUGUACAUUAUUCAUUAGAGCAGACUGGUAUAAUGCGUCAUUAACUUUGUCAUUACUUUCAUUUCUCUUCGCAAGUUCUAAAAAUAACAGCGUUGCUGUUGAAACCCCUCAGCCAGAGUCAAGUUAUCAUCCGACAACCAUUAACCUUCAACUCAACAUGGUGAACUUGACCUUUGGCCUUUGACCCCAGAACCAGUCCCAACUUGCCUGUACCCAAGGGCAACCCCCUACCUAAGUCAGACACCAAAAUCUCAUUUCUAACUCAAGUUAUCAUCCGGAAACCA
This 5488-nucleotide unclassified non-coding RNA is filed under the name Patiria miniata (bat star). RNAcentral describes it as "soluble scavenger receptor cysteine-rich domain- containing protein SSC5D-like, transcript variant X4". The record is from RNAcentral. Lineage: Eukaryota; Metazoa; Echinodermata; Asteroidea; Valvatida; Asterinidae.